Molecule: ribosomal RNA, 690 nt
Filed under: Salmonella enterica subsp. enterica serovar Typhimurium
Lineage: Bacteria; Pseudomonadati; Pseudomonadota; Gammaproteobacteria; Enterobacterales; Enterobacteriaceae
Description: partial 23S ribosomal RNA
Rfam family: Bacterial large subunit ribosomal RNA
Source: RNAcentral
GUUGGGUAGGGGAGCGUUCUGUAAGCCUGUGAAGGUGUGUCGUGAGGCAUGCUGGAGGUAUCAGAAGUGCGAAUGCUGACAUAAGUAACGAUAAAGCGGGUGAAAAGCCCGCUCGCCGGAAGACCAAGGGUUCCUGUCCAACGUUAAUCGGGGCAGGGUGAGUCGACCCCUAAGGCGAGGCCGAAAGGCGUAGUCGAUGGGAAACGGGUUAAUAUUCCCGUACUUGGUGUUACUGCGAAGGGGGGACGGAGAAGGCUAUGUUGGCCGGGCGACGGUUGUCCCGGUUUAAGCGUGUAGGUGUGUGUUCCAGGUAAAUCCGGUUCACUUUAACACUGAGGCGUGACGACGAGGCACUACGGUGCUGAAGCAACAAAUGCCCUGCUUCCAGGAAAAGCCUCUAAGCAUCAGGUAACAUCAAAUCGUACCCCAAACCGACACAGGUGGUCAGGUAGAGAAUACCAAGGCGCUUGAGAGAACUCGGGUGAAGGAACUAGGCAAAAUGGUGCCGUAACUUCGGGAGAAGGCACGCUGACACGUAGGUGAAGUGAUUUACUCAUGGAGCUGAAGUCAGUCGAAGAUACCAGCUGGCUGCAACUGUUUAUUAAAAACACAGCACUGUGCAAACACGAAAGUGGACGUAUACGGUGUGACGCCUGCCCGGUGCCGGAAGGUUAAUUGAUGGGGUCAGCG